AGUGAAUAGAUACCCUGGUAGUCCCAGCUGUAAACGAUGUGCGUUAGGUGUAUCGGUGACCACGAGUCAAACGAGGUGCCGAAGAGAAAUCGUGAAACGUACCGCCUGGGAAGUACGGUCGCAAGGCUGAAACUUAAAGGAAUUGGCGGGGGGAGCACCACGAACGGGUGGAGCCUGUCGGUUUAAUCGGACUCAACGACCGGAAGCUCACCGGAUAAGACAGGCGGAAUGAUAGGCCGGGCUAGAAGACUCUGCUUGACUAGCUGAGAGGAGGUGCAUGGCCGUCGUCAGUUCGUAUUGUGAAGCAUCCU
RNAcentral lists this ribosomal RNA (311 nucleotides) under uncultured bacterium. RNAcentral describes it as "bacterial SSU rRNA". It matches the Rfam family "Archaeal small subunit ribosomal RNA", at positions 725 to 1027 of the family's 1478-position model. The record is from RNAcentral.